AUUGAACGCUGGCGGCAGGCCUAACACAUGCAAGUCGAGCGGAUGAAGGGAGCUUGCUCCUGGAUUCAGCGGCGGACGGGUGAGUAAUGCCUAGGAAUCUGCCUGGUAGUGGGGGAUAACGUCCGGAAACGGGCGCUAAUACCGCAUACGUCCUGAGGGAGAAAGCGGGGGAUCUUCGGACCUCACGCUAUCAGAUGAGCCUAGGUCGGAUUAGCUAGUUGGUGGGGUAAAGGCUUACCAAGGCGACGAUCCGUAACUGGUCUGAGAGGAUGAUCGGUCACACUGGAACUGAGACACGGUCCAGACUCCUACGGGAGGCAGCAGUGGGGAAUAUUGGACAAUGGGCGAAAGCCUGAUCCAGCCAUGCCGCGUGUGUGAAGAAGGUCUUCGGAUUGUAAAGCACUUUAAGUUGGGAGGAAGGGCAGUAAGUUAAUACCUUGCUGUUUUGACGUUACCAACAGAAUAAGCACCGGCUAACUUCGUG
This 484-nucleotide ribosomal RNA is filed under the name uncultured bacterium. RNAcentral's name for it is "partial 16S ribosomal RNA". It matches the Rfam family "Bacterial small subunit ribosomal RNA", at positions 30 to 507 of the family's 1533-position model. The record is from RNAcentral.